Molecule: ribosomal RNA, 524 nt
Filed under: uncultured bacterium
Lineage: Bacteria
Description: partial 16S ribosomal RNA
Rfam family: Bacterial small subunit ribosomal RNA
Source: RNAcentral
GACGAACGCUGGCGGCGUGCCUAAUACAUGCAAGUCGAGCGCAGGAAACUGACGGAACUCUUCGGAGGGAAGGCAGUGGAAUGAGCGGCGGACGGGUGAGUAACACGUAAGGAACCUGCCUCAAGGAUUGGGAUAACUCCGAGAAAUCGGAGCUAAUACCGGAUAGUUCAACGGACCGCAUGGUCCGCUGAUGAAAGGCGCUCCGGCGCCACCUUGAGUUGGCCUUGCGGUGCAUUAGCUAGUUGGUGGGGUAACGGCCCACCAAGGCGACGAUGCAUAGCCGACCUGAGAGGGUGAUCGGCCACACUGGGACUGAGACACGGCCCAGACUCCUACGGGAGGCAGCAGUAGGGAAUCUUCCACAAUGGACGAAAGUCUGAUGGAGCAACGCCGCGUGAGUGAUGAAGGUUUUCGGAUCGUAAAACUCUGUUGUAAGGGAAGAACACGUACGAGAGGUAAUGCUCGUACCUUGACGGUACCUUACGAGAAAGCCACGGCUAACUACGUGCCAGCCGCCGCGGUAA